ACGCACGCUGGCGGCGUGCUUCACACAUGCAAGUCGCACGGAAAGGCCCUGCUUUUGUGGGGUGCUCGAGUGGCGAACGGGUGAGUAACACGUGAGUAACCUGCCCUUGACUUUGGGAUAACUUCAGGAAACUGGGGCUAAUACCGGAUAGGAGCUCCUGCUGCAUGGUGGGGGUUGGAAAGUUUCGGCGGUUGGGGAUGGACUCGCGGCUUAUCAGCUUGUUGGUGGGGUAGUGGCUUACCAAGGCUUUGACGGGUAGCCGACCUGAGAGGGUGACCGGCCACAUUGGGACUGAGAUACGGCCCAGACUCCUACGGGAGGCAGCAGUGGGGAAUAUUGCACAAUGGGCGGAAGCCUGAUGCAGCAACGCCGCGUGCGGGAUGACGGCCUUCGGGUUGUAAACCGCUUUCGCCUGUGACGAAGCGUGAGUGACGGUAAUGGGUAAAGAAGCACCGGCUAACUACGUG
This 467-nucleotide ribosomal RNA is filed under the name uncultured bacterium. RNAcentral's name for it is "partial 16S ribosomal RNA". It matches the Rfam family "Bacterial small subunit ribosomal RNA", at positions 29 to 507 of the family's 1533-position model. The record is from RNAcentral.